GUGUUCGCUUUGGCAGCACAUAUACUAACAGAAUGAUGUAGAGAUUAGCAUGGCCCCUUGAAAGGAUGGCAUGCAAAUUCAUGAAAUCUUCAUAUUUGAA
RNAcentral lists this small nuclear RNA (100 nucleotides) under Nannospalax galili (Upper Galilee mountains blind mole rat). Lineage: Eukaryota; Metazoa; Chordata; Mammalia; Rodentia; Spalacidae. The record is from RNAcentral.